This is a non-coding RNA of Pelobates cultripes (western spadefoot toad), 228 nucleotides long. Lineage: Eukaryota; Metazoa; Chordata; Amphibia; Anura; Pelobatidae. The record is from the annotation of a GenBank genome assembly.
CGCCAGCAUUGUUAUAGGCUGUCCGCAUCCACUACUGGAGACGGGACGCUCCUCUCAUCUUCGCGUAAUACAUACAAAUUCCAAUCCAGAAAGAGGGAGGAGUGUUCAUACAAUUAGUGCUCAAAGUUCUGUGGUAUUAUGGAAUACCUUGUAUAUUAUAAGCCUCCAUUUUGGAAAAGGGCGGAAGUCCCAAAAGCCAUGUAAAAAUGUUCAUAAAAGAUAUAAAAG